RNAcentral lists this ribosomal RNA (664 nucleotides) under uncultured cyanobacterium. RNAcentral describes it as "bacterial SSU rRNA". It matches the Rfam family "Bacterial small subunit ribosomal RNA", at positions 98 to 795 of the family's 1533-position model. The record is from RNAcentral. Lineage: Bacteria; Bacillati; Cyanobacteriota.
UCGGACGGGUGAGUAACGCGUGAGAAUCUGGCAAAAGGUUCGGGACAACAGUUGGAAACGACUGCUAAUACCGGAUGUGCCUGUGGGUGAAAGAUUAAUCGCCUUUUGACGAGCUCGCGUCUGAUUAGCUAGUUGGUGUGGUAAGAGCGCACCAAGGCGACGAUCAGUAGCUGGUCUGAGAGGAUGACCAGUCACACUGGGACUGAGACACGGCCCAGACUCCUACGGGAGGCAGCAGUGGGGAAUUUUCCGCAAUGGGCGAAAGCCUGACGGAGCAAUACCGCGUGAGGGAGGAAGGCUCUUGGGUUGUAAACCUCUUUUCUCAGGGAAUAAGAAAGUGAAGGUACCUGAGGAAUCAGCAUCGGCUAACUCCGUGCCAGCAGCCGCGGUAAUACGGAGGAUGCAAGCGUUAUCCGGAAUGAUUGGGCGUAAAGCGUCCGCAGGUGGUUGCUCAAGUCUGCUGUCAAAGAGUCUGGCUCAACCAGAUAAAGGCAGUGGAAACUGAGAGACUAGAGUGCGGUAGGGGCAGAGGGAAUUCCUGGUGUAGCGGUGAAAUGCGUAGAGAUCAGGAAGAACACCGGUGGCGAAAGCGCUCUGCUGGACCGCAACUGACACUGAGGGACGAAAGCUAGGGGAGCGAAUGGGAUUAGAUACCCCAGUAGUC